This is a non-coding RNA of Hymenopellis radicata, 92 nucleotides long. Lineage: Eukaryota; Fungi; Basidiomycota; Agaricomycetes; Agaricales; Physalacriaceae. The record is from the annotation of a GenBank genome assembly.
GCAUUAAUGGGGUAGUGGUAACCUGGGUCGUUGCCAUUAUCGAAUUGGCGUGACUCUUCGACCCGCCGGGGGUUCGAUUCCCCCUUAAUGCA